ACUUGGGCCUCUGGUAUUGCUUGUGCCUAAUCCUGGUUGUACUAUUUUCGUCUUAAGACUUGGCGUGUCUGAUAAAGUAUAUAAUUUGACCUAGGCUUCUCGAGGCCAGAAAAGCCAAGCCAACAACUUACAAUCAGACUUUGUUUGCAAUACCUACAGAUAUGAGUGAAUUCCUCCUUUCUCAAGGUCCCUAAAAUAUGCUGAGGCCUGCAUCUGCUAGGAAGAUGCAAGGAAAAGCAAACCACACAGAAGAACUGCACACUGCAAUGAAGUUGGAAUGCAAGUCUUCAUCAGAAAGGAGGGAACAAACUUUGGAUAAUACAACCACAAAAUAUGUGAACCGCAAACAAGUAUAAACACACAGAUGAGGAAACUCAGAUGGAAGAACCGUCUUGCCCAAAGCCACCAAGCUUCUAAGCUGGAACACAAACCCUGGUUUCUCUGCUGCCAGAGCCCUGUGUUCUUAACAGGAAAAGAAGGCAGAUGCUGGCCAAUGAGACCUGGCCAAUGAGAACGUCGCAACGGCAGGCGGCCUCUAUUGGCAGUGGAGAAAUUGAUCAGAUGCCAUUUUUCACACACAAAAAGAAACUAUUCUAGGUACCACCCGUUGAAAUUUGUGCUACGCUGGAGGAAGAAGUCUGACAGUUUCCUACAAGUUGCCCAGCUAUUUCGGGGGAUUUAUUUAUCACCGCGUUGGUCUCAUUUUCUCAAGGACGUGCCCGUUAAGAAAGCAGGCUGUGUGGAGUAGUGGAAAGGGUGCAGGAAUGAGAGUUAGGAGAGAGCUGGCCUCUGUUGCUUGCUUACAUACCCCUGCCUCUGACCAGAACAUCCCACCUCUGGGGGCUUCACAUGCUUUAUUUGUAUAAUGAAGGUCUGGAUGUGAUGUCUUGGAUUCCUUCUGGGUUCCCAAGACUAAAGGCAACAAGCUAGUUUGAUCACAUGCCUCAGUCACUAAAACAAAUUUGAAUAUCUGUCCAGAUGUGUGUGUGUGUGUGUGUGUGUGUGUAUACAUGUAAUGCUUUAUAACUAUAUUAUAAACUUACAAAAUAUAUAAAAUACAAAUUAAAAAGGAGAUAUAUGUAAAUUCUAACAUUUUCUCUCCAAACUGUAAUAGUUUAUCUUAAAUACAGCUGGGGCAAGCUCAUACCUCUUUGGAAAUGUGCUUUAAGGCACAUUUCAGCUCUGUUUUUGUGAUGGGUGUAAGAUAUUAGUCCUAAAUCGCCAUUUCCACAUUGGCUAGGGAAGAGCAUAAAUCUGUCAAACCUGCAGAUUGCAUACCUUUUGAUUGCAUAUUAAACACGUGAGACAAUUUUUUUUUUAACAUACCAUCUUCUUGGUUAAUCCUGUUAUAACAAUUUUAAAACAGAAUAGUUACAGAGAAAUUUCUUUACUGCGGAAAAUAACAGUGGAAGCUAGUUAUAAACAGCAACUGACUUUUCAUCUUGAGUCAGGGAAAUGUUUGGGAGCUGCAGGGGUUGGGGAAGUCUGCAGCGUGAAUGCCUUGUCCAAGGACGGAAGCUGCCUUUCAGCUCCAGUGGGCUGUCGUC
Balaenoptera acutorostrata (minke whale) is the source of this 1547-nucleotide long non-coding RNA. RefSeq lists it as uncharacterized. NCBI's taxonomy places the organism in Eukaryota, Metazoa, Chordata, Mammalia, Artiodactyla, Balaenopteridae. The transcript is spliced from 4 exons. The record is from RefSeq and is a predicted model, not a curated record.